GGGACAGAUUCUCGCCAUCUGUGCACUCAAUUUCUGACCACCAGGAUGUGCACCGACACUCUGGCCAGCAUCUCUGAAACUCAGGACAUUUAAGAACACCAGACACUCCAGGAAGAAGACAGAGAAGAACGCUAUGCAGCUUCCCCACGCUGACUCGAGAAAGCAGCACAGUAGGAUGCAGGGAAGGACAGAGAUGCUGGAUACACAGAGGGACAUACCUGGAGGCUCUGGGCAGGCUUCCUGGAGGAGGCAACAUUUCACCUGACAUCUGAAGGACUAGAUGAAGCUAGCCAGGUAGGGUGGAGGUGGCUAGUCAUCUUUCAACAUGCACACCUUCCCCCCUUUGAUGGCAGAGAGCUGUCACUGGAAAGGGCCUACACCUUCUAGCCCCCCUUCUCCUCGCUGGUGUGGGUUGGCAAUGAAAUCUCGCUGGUGGAAUGUCAGGGGAUGGGUAGGUGUGCCCUCACCCAGCUAAGGCUCUCAAGAAGCAGGUGUGUCGUCUCCAGCAUCUGGGCACAGAUGCUGGCGGGAUGGCAGAACCACACACAGAAGGAGGCAGGAUCGCCGAGUCUGCAGAGAAGAGAGCUGCCCGAGCCUGGAGGAGCACCUGCUCUGUGCCACU
Long non-coding RNA from Suricata suricatta (meerkat), 622 nucleotides. RefSeq lists it as uncharacterized. The record is from RefSeq and is a predicted model, not a curated record. The transcript is spliced from 3 exons. NCBI's taxonomy places the organism in Eukaryota, Metazoa, Chordata, Mammalia, Carnivora, Herpestidae.